Long non-coding RNA from Prosopis cineraria, 1571 nucleotides. RefSeq lists it as uncharacterized. Lineage: Eukaryota; Viridiplantae; Streptophyta; Magnoliopsida; Fabales; Fabaceae. The record is from RefSeq and is a predicted model, not a curated record. The transcript is spliced from 2 exons.
CUCUCUACUUUCUUUGUUCUCUUCUCUUGCGGCCUCCAUUCAACUUUACACUUUUUAUUCUUGAGAUUACUAAUUUAAGUUUUUGACUUGUGACUAGAUUUCCAUGGUGUCCAGUUAUUUAAUUUUAUAUGGUUGAUUUAGCUACCCAUUAUGUCACAUCAUUUAAUGCUUACUUUUUCCGGUGAUUAUCAGUAGCGACUAGCGAGGAAAAUAAAAUCUGCUGAAAUUACACCCUAUCUGAUUUCUUUAUUAAAGCCCGAUGGAUUUACCAUAAGAAAAGAUGGGGAUUUCAUUAUUAAUUACCAUUGUUUCUCAAUAAUUACCGAGAGUGGGGGCCUCUUGCCCGGCAACCAGCACUCAUCAGAUCCCCUUCUUCCAGCUCUUCUUGCAUGGUCCACAUUUUUACAUUUUACUCUGCCUAAAAUGAAUGAUUAUUGUUUAUACUUUAUAGUACCCCACAACUCCUCCUAUUAAUUAUUAAUUUUAGGAAUAGCUAGACCCUGAGCUCGGUGUGUAAUCUAGGCCCCUUAUUGCAGAAACCAGAGUCCUUCAACAAAAUUGUGGCAAAGAAUUCCUAGUUUAUUGCUAACUGGGGUUCAUCAUCCUGUAACUCAAAGCCUUUAACUCCAGUAUCUGAUUUUGUUCUCUUGGUCGUGUAAAAAGUAGACUGAAAGCCAUACAUGUGGUGAUGUGGAGUUUUGCUUCGCGUACCGUUGAUUCCCAACUUGUUACUUGGAAAAGCAUAGUCGCCUUGUUAUGCAGUUAUAGAUAAGAUCCCUUGAUGAUAAAAGGAAAAGAAAACUUUAAGCUAUACUAGUAAUUUUCUAAACUAGAAAUUUGGCACCAAUCAACUGAAAGUAGACUUGCUUAAAAACCUCCACUGGAAAGAUUCCUUUGCAAACGUUCACAGCCACAGCGCAGAAUCAUAUAGGUCGAGCGGCGUUGUCAUCCUCCACAGAUCUUGCAAGUGCUUCAUCCCGUCUGCAGGAAUCAACUCGUUGGAUGUGUCUGAUAUUGAAAGAUCAAAAAUGGGAAGCGGACUGGUGCUUGGAGACAGAGAGAGCGUAAAACCACUCGGUGGAAGGCAUGAUUCCGGGAAAGCAGGGGCUUGUAAUUUGAUGUCUCCUCUGCAGGAAGGACCCAAAUGCAAAGAAAAAAUGAUUGAAUUCCUGUGCAGUUGUUGUUUGCUGUGCUUAUGUUGCCCUCUAUCUGUUGUCUGCUGCAUCAAGCUCCCUUGCAAAAUCUGUCAUCAAGCGUUGCGGCGAGCGUGGCGGUGGGGUUUCAGCGGAUCAAAACAGAGGAGUUCUGCAGAUUAUUCUUCGUUUUCUGACAUUGAUUCUGACGUCGCAUUUGCAAAGGUUGAAUCUGGUGUUUGCAAACACUGAACAGGCAUAUCCAUUUUUGGAUUCCCAGUAGGCUGCAGCUGCGUCAUGCUGCAUCAGAACCACGAAUAACCCGAUUCUUCAGGUUUGGUCUUGGCCUUGGGGGAUUUGUUGAGCUCCUUGAAUGUAGUGGUAUCUUUAAGCCGUACCAUAUCCUUUUUGGUUUGAUAGUAGAACAUGGAAUUUUAA